GAUGAACGCUGGCGGCGUGCCUAAUACAUGCAAGUCGAGCGAACGGACAAGAGCCUGGCUCCACGAUUGUUAGCGGCGGAGGGGUGAGUAAAACGUGGUUAACCUACCAUAAGGACUGGAUAAACUCCGGGAAACCGGAGCUAAUACCGGAUAAUAUUUUUACCCGCCGGGUUCAAAAAGGAAGGACGGACUGGACGUAUCUUAAGUAUGGACCGACGCUGCAUUAGCUAGUUGGUAAGGUAACGGCUUACCAAGGCAACUAUGCAUAGCCGACCUGGAAGUGUGCUCGGCCACACUGGAACUGAGACACGGUCCAGACUCCUACGGGAGGCAGCAGUAGGGAAUCUUCCGCAAUGGGCGAAAGCCUGACGGAGCAACGCCGCGUGAGUGAUGAAGGUCUUCGGAUCGUAAAACUCUGUUAUUAGGGAAGAACAUAUGUGUAAGUAACUGUGCACAUCUUGACGGUACCUAAUCAGAAAGCCACGGCUAACUACGUG
This 497-nucleotide ribosomal RNA is filed under the name uncultured bacterium. RNAcentral describes it as "partial 16S ribosomal RNA". It matches the Rfam family "Bacterial small subunit ribosomal RNA", at positions 28 to 507 of the family's 1533-position model. The record is from RNAcentral.